This 304-nucleotide ribosomal RNA is filed under the name uncultured bacterium. RNAcentral's name for it is "bacterial SSU rRNA". It matches the Rfam family "Bacterial small subunit ribosomal RNA", at positions 28 to 334 of the family's 1533-position model. The record is from RNAcentral.
GACGAACGCUGGCGGCGUGCUUAACACAUGCAAGUCGAACGAUGAUGCCCUGCUUGCAGGGUGGAUUAGUGGCGAACGGGUGAGUAACACGUGGGUGAUCUGCCCCGCACUUCGGGAUAAGCCUGGGAAACUGGGUCUAAUACCGGAUACGACCCCCUGGUAGGUCAGGGGGUGGAAAGAUUUAUCGGUGUGGGAUGAGCCUGCGGCCUAUCAGCUUGUUGGUGGGGUAAUGGCCUACCAAGGCGUCGACGGGUAGCCGGCCUGAGAGGGUGAUCGGCCACAUUGGGACUGAGACACGGCCCAG